GAUGAACGCUGGCGGCGUGCCUAACACAUGCAAGUCGAGCGGCAGCGCGGGGUGCUUGCACCCUGUCGGCGAGCGGCGGACGGCUGAGUAACGCGUGGGAACGUGCCCCAAAGUGAGGAAUAACUGCCCGAAAGGGUAGCUAAUACCGCAUAUUAUCUUCGGAUCAAAGGAUUUAUCCGCUUUGGGAGCGGCUCGCGUCGGAUUAGGUAGUUGGUGAGGUAAUGGCUCACCAAGCCGACGAUCCGUAGCUGGUCUGAGAGGAUGACCAGCCAGACUGGAACUGAGACACGGUCCAGACUCCUACGGGAGGCAGCAGUGAGGAAUCUUCCACAAGGGGCGAAAGCCUGAUGGAGCAACGCCGCGUGCAGGACGAAGGCCUUCGGGUUGUAAACUGCUUUUAUAAGUGAGGAAUAUGACGGUAACUGAUGAAUAAGGAUCGGCUAACUACGUG
RNAcentral lists this ribosomal RNA (451 nucleotides) under uncultured bacterium. RNAcentral describes it as "partial 16S ribosomal RNA". It matches the Rfam family "Bacterial small subunit ribosomal RNA", at positions 28 to 507 of the family's 1533-position model. The record is from RNAcentral.